GAAGGUAUAGCUGAAGUGAUAAAGCACAUGCUUUGUGCGCAGGAGGUCCUGGUUUCACUCCCCAGUACCUCCA
Molecule: transfer RNA, 73 nt
Filed under: Camelus bactrianus (Bactrian camel)
Lineage: Eukaryota; Metazoa; Chordata; Mammalia; Artiodactyla; Camelidae
Also listed under: 2 other names
Rfam family: tRNA
About the family: Transfer RNA (tRNA) molecules are approximately 80 nucleotides in length. Their secondary structure includes four short double-helical elements and three loops (D, anti-codon, and T loops).
Source: Rfam by way of RNAcentral